UGUUCGAGAGCGAUGGGGACGUUGUCGACUUAGUGGGUACUUUGUAGAGACGCUUGUGGUGGGGGACAAGCUAGGCGUACUUCCGCACACUAUCCGGGUCUCCCUCGAGGGGGAGCUCUUCGCAGUCGACGCCACAAAUAACAAUAUAGUUCGGAUCACUCCGCCUCUCUCCCAGUAUAGCAGAGCAAGAUUUGGUUGCCGGGUCAUUUAAGGGAUUCUCUGGACAUGUAGAGAUGGUAAACCUGCAGAUGCUCGUUUCUAUCGUCCAAAAGGUGCCGCUAUGGAUGACAAAGGGAAUGUGUAUGUUGCUGAUAUCUCCAAUAUGGCUAUUCGAAAGAUAACUGAAUCAGGUGUGACUACUAUUGCUGGAGGAAAAUCAAAUAUAGCAGGUUAUAGAGAUGGCCCGAGUGAGGAUGCUAAGUUUUCUAAUGACUUUGAUGUGAUAUAUGUUGGAAGAACUUGUUCUCUUCUAGUCGUGGACAGGGGUAAUGCUGCUCUUCGCCAAAUUUCUCUUCAGCAAGAGGACUGCCAAUACCAGUAUACUUCAGUAUCAACAUCAGGUUACCUGAAGCUUCCCAGUGAUGUUCUUUGUAAUUCUUUUUGUACACAACAAACAUGGAACUAUAACAUAUUACAACCUUACAAUAUGGCACCAUCGGUCCAAUAUUUUCUGUUAUCUUACAUAUCUUAUAUGGUUGCAUCUACAUAUGUAGAAGACCAGGAAGAAAAAAGUUGACAACAGACAAGAGAAGUCACCAGCAGCCGAUACUUCGCUGCAGCAUCAGUGCACGGAUGCCACCAGCAGCCUGACCCCCUGCAUGGACUAUGGCAGCGGCAGCAGCGACCGACCCAACAGCGACUGCUGCGACACCGUGAGGAACAUCCGGGGCACAAACCCCGUCUGCCUCUGCUACGCCGUACAGCAGACGCACAACUGCUCCUCCCCCUGGAGCGCCUUAGGGCUCAAGGUCGAACGCCUGCUCAUGCUGCCCGGUGCUUGCAACCUCGACAACUCCAACGCUAGCAAUUGUAACGGAACUACUGUGUUUCUUCUUCUGCUAGUGAAGAGAAACAUCUUGAGGAAGAAAGAGCUGAAAAGGAUAAGAAACGGAGAGUUGAAGCUUUGUCGGUUUUUUCUGAGAUGAUAGAAACUGAUCACAUGAUGGAUUCUUACUGGUCUGACUUGAUAUCUCAUAACCGCCCUACUAAAAUCGAAGUCGAAGUUCAUGCUCCGGCUCAAAGGAAAAAGAGGAAAACUUCAAGACAAACAUCUGCUCUGAUUUCUGUUCCUGUUGUACAAGCCACAGAACAUAUUCAAAUUGGAAUAGCUUGUCCCACUAUGAAGCAAGUGCUAUCCUCAGAUAGGCCCAUAAUCAGUGUCAAUGCAAAGAUAGUCGAUAGGUGUAUGCCUACAGCUUUGGUUUUGAAUUUCAAUAAAUCCAGUCCUCUUCCUUUUGAAGUUGAUCUGAUUAGGAUUUUCUGUCGCUAUGGGCCCAUAGUGGAAGUAGCAACAGAAGUUCAACAGGAGAGCAACAGCGUCAAACUAAUUUUUAAGCGGCUUACUGAUGCCGAGAUGGCUUUUAGUAGUGCCAGAAAAUAUGGAUGGUUUGGGCCAUCACUUCUCAGUUAUCAUCUCAGAUAUCUAUCGUCAACACCAGAUACUUUUGCUGACAUCCAACAAUCAGACAAUUAUGCUGCACUACCAGAACAUAGCAACUUGGAAACUCCAGGGAAUGAUUCUGAACAGUUGCAUUCUUGCUUAUGAGAUUUGGAAGAUGA
Molecule: RNA transcript, 1779 nt
Organism: Zingiber officinale
Lineage: Eukaryota; Viridiplantae; Streptophyta; Magnoliopsida; Zingiberales; Zingiberaceae
Gene name: non-specific lipid transfer protein GPI-anchored 1-like
Exons: 6
Source: RefSeq, a predicted model, not a curated record